This 295-nucleotide signal recognition particle RNA is filed under the name Vombatus ursinus (common wombat). Its description in RNAcentral is "Metazoan signal recognition particle RNA (ENSVURG00010003288.1)". It matches the Rfam family "Metazoan signal recognition particle RNA". From Rfam's summary of the family: The signal recognition particle (SRP) is a universally conserved ribonucleoprotein. It is involved in the co-translational targeting of proteins to membranes. Lineage: Eukaryota; Metazoa; Chordata; Mammalia; Diprotodontia; Vombatidae. The record is from Rfam by way of RNAcentral.
GCAAGAUGGAAUACAUCUGUAAUCCCUACUACCAUGGAGGCUGAGGCUUGUAGGGCUCUUGAGCUUGGAAGCUUUGAGCUGCAGUGGGCUAAGCCAAUUGAGUGUCUGAACUAACUUUGCCACUGAUGUGGUGAGACCUUUGGAGGAAGGACCACCAUACUGCAAAGGAGAAGCAAACUAGCCUAGAUCAGAAAUGGAGAAGGCCAGAGCUUCCAUGUUGAUAAGCAAUGAUAGAGCCUAUAAGCAUUGGUGUCUACACUUUCAGCCUGGGCAAGAUAGGGAGAUUUAAUUUCAA